Molecule: ribosomal RNA, 237 nt
Filed under: uncultured bacterium
Lineage: Bacteria
Description: partial 16S ribosomal RNA
Rfam family: Bacterial small subunit ribosomal RNA
Source: RNAcentral
CACGGGUGAGUAACACGUAUGCAAUCCACCUGUAACAGGGGAGUAACCCGGAGAAAUCCGGACUAAUACCCCAUAAUAUGGGCGCUCCGCAUGGAGAGCCCAUUAAAGAGAGCAAUUUUGGUUACAGACGAGCAUGCGCUCCAUUAGCCAGUUGGCGGGGCAACGGCCCACCAAAGCGACGAUGGAUAGGGGUUCUGAGAGGAAGGUCCCCCACAUUGGAACUGAGACACGGUCCAA